RNAcentral lists this transfer RNA (82 nucleotides) under Ignavibacteriaceae bacterium. RNAcentral's name for it is "tRNA-Ser". It matches the Rfam family "tRNA". From Rfam's summary of the family: Transfer RNA (tRNA) molecules are approximately 80 nucleotides in length. Their secondary structure includes four short double-helical elements and three loops (D, anti-codon, and T loops). Lineage: Bacteria; Pseudomonadati; Ignavibacteriota; Ignavibacteria; Ignavibacteriales; Ignavibacteriaceae. The record is from RNAcentral.
GGAAAGAUGCUAGAGUGGUGAAUAGGGCAAUUUGCUAAAUUGUUGAGGUAAACUCACGAGGGUUCGAGCCCCUCUCUUUCCU